RNAcentral lists this ribosomal RNA (468 nucleotides) under uncultured bacterium. RNAcentral describes it as "partial 16S ribosomal RNA". It matches the Rfam family "Bacterial small subunit ribosomal RNA", at positions 28 to 507 of the family's 1533-position model. The record is from RNAcentral.
GACGAACGCUGGCGGCGUGCUUAACACAUGCAAGUCGAACGGCAAGGCCCUGCUUGUGUGGGGUGCUCGAGUGGCGAACGGGUGAGUAACACGUGAGUAACCUGCUCUUGACUUUGGGAUAACUUCAGGAAACUGGGGCUACUAUCGGACAGCAGCUCCUGCUGCAUGGUGGGGGUUGGAAAGUUUCGGCGGGUGCGGAUGGACUCGCGGCUUAUCGGCUUGUUGGUCGGGUAGUGGCUGACCAAGGCUUUGACGGGUAGCCGGCAUGAGAGGGUGACCGGCCACAAUGGGACUACGAUACGGCGCAGAGUGCUACGGGAGGCAGCGGGGGCGAGUAUUGCACAAUGGGCGGGAGCCUGAUGCAGAGACGUCGGGGGCGGGAUGACGGCCUGCUGGGUGUGAACCGCUUUAGCCUGUGACGAAGCGUGAGUGACGGUAAUGGGUGAAGAAGCACCGGCUAACUACGUG